CUUAACUUUUCUCCUAGUGGUGCUCCGAGGGUUGCUAGGCCUUCCCUCAGGUCUGGAAGGCUGUACAUCAGGCUGGACCAGGCCCACUGGUCUAACAGGCCGUCUGGGUUGCUGAGGGUUGCUAGGCCUCCCCUCAGGUCUAGUGAUGCUGACAGGGAUUCUAGGUAUCAUUGACUCAGGCUGGUACAGGCUCUCUGGGCUGCUGGGCCGGGAAUCAGGCAGAAGCUUGUAGUUCUUCAGAACCUCAGUGAAGGAAAGCUCCUUGUUGCGCCUGCAUCUGUUGGUUUUGGCAGGUAGCUGGGAGCUGCUGCUGUUAAACCAACCGGGAGACUCACGACAUCCAUCCUGGGCAGGAACCAGGGACUGGAGGUCUCUCCUCUUUCUGUGGGCAGCUGUGGGCCUCUUGGACCUGACGUCAUCAGGAGGGGGAGCACGGGGUACAACAUGCAGGGAGGGGAACGCUGAGGGCCUGAAAGAGGAGGCCAUCACUGGGGCCUGGCUGACCUCUUCUCUCUCCAGCAGCACUCUGUUAGAAGGACAGAGCAGCGAAACACCGAUGGACCUUGGUCCUCCAGACCCAUUCAGGUUGGGCCUCCUAUUCAUCAUUCACUGGUCUGCAGUAUUCUAAUCAGAAUGCUCCU
Molecule: long non-coding RNA, 641 nt
Organism: Oncorhynchus tshawytscha (Chinook salmon)
Lineage: Eukaryota; Metazoa; Chordata; Actinopteri; Salmoniformes; Salmonidae
Source: Ensembl